AGCGGCGGAUGGGUGAGUAACACGUGGGGAACCUGCCCCUAAGUCUGGGAUACCAUUUGGAAACAGGUGCUAAUACCGGAUAAUAAAGCAGAUCGCAUGAUCAGCUUUUGAAAGGCGGCGUAAGCUGUCGCUAAGGGAUGGCCCCGCGGUGCAUUAGCUAGUUGGUAAGGUAACGGCUUACCAAGGCGACGAUGCAUAGCCGAGUUGAGAGACUGAUCGGCCACAUUGGGACUGAGACACGGCCCAAACUCCUACGGGAGGCAGCAGUAGGGAAUCUUCCACAAUGGACGCAAGUCUGAUGGAGCAACGCCGCGUGAGUGAAGAAGGUUUUCGGAUCGUAAAGCUCUGUUGUUGGUGAAGAAGGAUAGAGGUAGUAACUGGCCUUUAUUUGACGGUAAUCAACCAGAAAGUCACGGCUAACUACGUGCCAGCAGCCGCGGUAAUACGUAGGUGGCAAGCGUUGUCCGGAUUUAUUGGGCGUAAAGCGAGUGCAGGCGGAAAAAUAAGUCUAAUGUGAAAGCCCUCGGCUUAACCGAGGAACUGCAUCGGAAACUGUUUUUCUUGAGUGCAGAAGAGGAGAGCGGAACUCCAUGUGUAGCGGUGGAAUGCGUAGAUAUAUGGAAGAACACCAGUGGCGAAGGCGGCUCUCUGGUCUGCAACUGACGCUGAGGCUCGAAAGCAUGGGUAGCGAACAGGAUUAGAUACCCUGGUAGUCCAUGCCGUAAACGAUGAGUGCUAAGUGU
Molecule: ribosomal RNA, 743 nt
Filed under: uncultured bacterium
Lineage: Bacteria
Description: bacterial SSU rRNA
Rfam family: Bacterial small subunit ribosomal RNA
Source: RNAcentral